This 4159-nucleotide long non-coding RNA is filed under the name Arachis ipaensis. RNAcentral describes it as "long non-coding RNA (AIPA_LNC002343)". Lineage: Eukaryota; Viridiplantae; Streptophyta; Magnoliopsida; Fabales; Fabaceae. The record is from RNAcentral.
UCUGAAAACCAGAUAUGUUGGCUUGCCUUGUAGCGUACUUCUUUUCAAGAACAGGGGACUUGGCUGCUUCUUUCGCCGUUUCAUUCAUGGUUCUGAACAACAACUUCAUGAAGCUUUCCUGGUUGGAGACAUUCCCCGUGUUGGAGAGGUAAACGCCGGGCCUCGUGAACAUUGUGGACAAGAUAGAGCGGUUAUUGGAAUACCAAACCAUGCACUCGUCGUACCAAAUGAUGGCUCGUUUUGAUAAGGAACAAUUUGCAUCGGAUGAAAGCUUCUGCGUGGCGUUGACCACGCACUGACCGCAAGAGGAUAAGUCGCCCCUGCACAUGAAGAGACCGUAGGCCGUGUCGUUGGAGUUUGUGGCAGGGACGGUGGUGUUGAAGAAUUCAGCGUUGGCGGUGGCGUUGGAAGAGAGAGAUGAGAAGAGGGUGUUGAGAUCCUUUUUGAAGAGGCUGUUGGGAGUGGUCUUGUUGUCUGAACAAAUAUUGUAAAGAUAAGUGGGACCUUGCGCUUUAGCGGUGGUUGCAAAAUUGAGGAGCAGCAGCAGGGAGAGUGAUACUGGGACAAGGUUGAAGGUGAUCCUCAUCCAAUUCCAACCCAUGCUAUUAUUUCAGAAUAGAAGGAUGUGUUGUAUUGUGUUAUGUUAUGCGGUAGGAGUAGUUAUAGUGUGUGAAGAAUCAGGAUUUUUCUGUGUAGGUGUGAGCAAGAUACAAGAGGAGGAGAAGAAAGCAGGUCAAGCAAGCUGACAGGUCAACCUUGUUAUUUAUUACAGCAACUCUUUUGUUUUCUGCCCGGAAAAGUGGGUAAUUGCUUAUUGGAAUGGUAUGUCCUUCUACUCUUGUAUGGUUGACUCCUUCAACUUAACUACAAAAAUCUCCCUAUAUACAAUCUCACUAUUCUUGUGUUAGAAACACACGUAAACAGAACAUAAUUGGCUAGUCCCUUAGUUGCAUAGUCCCUAAUUAAAGCUAUAUUCAUACCAAUCUAGUUACUUUGUAGCAUGAAUUCUUUGUUUAAAUUUAAGGAUCAAAAUAUAUAAUCAACAACACACUAAGGAAUAACAAAAGAUAUCAUAAUUUGAUCCCCCAGUCCAUACAAGCUCCAAAGUAUAAUUGAAAUCUUGUCUUAAUUUUAAACUAACAGCAAUGGCAAUUAGUUGCACAGAACGUUAGUCAAAAGUUAAAUACUAUUAUCUAGGAAGAAAGUUACUUAUAGACAUUUCAUUUUGUGAAAGUGGAUGUGAACUAGAACUUGAUUCCUGUGCAGCUGCUCUUUGAUCCAUCUUUUUGUCCAUGAAAAAUGCAGGUUCUUGUGGAAGUGGCAACUCAAUUGAAUGGCUGCUAAGAUAUGUAACAACGGAUGCCAUUGUUGGUCUUGCAUCAGGAUCUUGUUGAACACAUAAUAAACCAAUUCGAAUGCACUUAAGGACUUCAAUUUCUGAAUAGUUAUUUUUAAUAUUUGGGUCUAAUAUACUUAAUGAUAUGUUAUCCCUCCAUUGUCUCCAAACCUGUAACACAGUAACCUCCCACAAUCAUUAUAUAAAUCAUCUACUCUUUUUUUUUCUAUUUAUUUUUGGGAAAUCUAAGUCAUUUGAUUGAAAAUAUAUUGAAAGAGGGUUAACAUUUAGUUUUUGUCUUUAAUAUUUAUAGUGUGGGUAAUUUUAUCUGAAUAAAUUUUGGGUUCCUUUUAUACCCCUAAAGUUUUAUAAAAAGAAAUAUUAUGAAAUCAUAAAAAAUAAUUAUUUUUGAUCAUCAUUUAACUAUCAAUUCAAUCUUUUAGUCUAAUAAUUUAAUAAAAUUUUGUCUUUUUAACGAAAGAAUUUAACAUGUCAUAAUAAAAUUCUGUUUGUGUCCUAAAUAAGUUUAUCCCUAAUUUAUUUUCUCUUUGGGUUCCAGCUAUAAGAUCAAGAUAAUCUUAAAUAAUGGAUUAGACUAGAAUAUUUCUAACUCUUUCAAUAGGAUAUAUAUUUGACCCAGAGGAUAUAUAUUUGACUGAGAGUGUUAAAGGCCAGCAAUUUUUAUGUUUUGUAACUAUCAAUUGACUAUCAAUAGUAUUUUUAAUAGUGUGAAAUUAUAUUCAAUGAUAAAAAAUUAUUCACUUUUUUUUAUAGUUAAAUAAUGGCCACAAAUAUAAAAAUUACUGACCCUAGACUUUUUUUUAUUUGACCAUAUUACUCCCCACCUGUAGCGCAACGUGGUGAGAAGGUUCAAUCAGCAUGUACAUCUCACAGAGCCUCUGCCCUUUAAAGAAGAAAGGUAUUGAUAACAAAAAUGCUAAAUACAUAGUCAUUAUAUAUAUAUACAUUAAUAAUAAAUGGGAAUGAGUAAUUUUAUUGUAGACAGUACAUCAAAUAUAGUUGCAUUCAUAAGAAAAGAUUUUAGUGAGCAUUCACCUGUAGCAGAAGGACCAGGCAGCUCAGGAGGUGGAGCAUCAUCAUCAGCUCUGUAAAAUUGGAAUAAUUGAAACCUAAGAGUGCAGCUAGGACAUAGAACUCUUCCACCGACACUUCCCAAACGAGCCCAUGGUAUUGCUGAUCCAAUCACAUCACGGAGACAGUUUGUGCAGUCAUCGCUGGAGAGAUCUGGCGUACACUGAGCCAGAGUGUAAAGAGUUUGAAAGGGAUUCAAUUUUGAUUUAUCUGUCAAAUAUCGGUUACCAUUGUCACCUGUGAGGUUGGUCAAUCUAAGUAAAAUACCAGAUAGAGUAUUGAAGAAGUUUUGCUGCUGGGUAGAAAUGAAGCUGCUGGUCAUGUUGAACUCGCUAAACAAAGGACUUGCUAUAUACGUCGAGCGGAUAUCUGCUUCGGAAUAGCGAAGCAAGCAGUGACUGUACCAAAUAACAGCCUCUUUGGAGAAGCGGCAGUUGGACCAAAUUCGAUCUUUUGCAAGGACCACGCACUGUGAGCAGAGGCGGGACGGAAGGUCACCACGGCACAUGAAGAGCCCAGACACUAUACCUGCUUCCACCUUCUUAAACAAGUUACCGCUGGUGGCGUUGGAAUACAAGGAAUCGAGGAGGGUGCGGAUAUGUAACUGGAAGUCCUUAUCGGAGUCUGAGGCUUUAUUGUUACUCGAGCAAGUGCAAUUAAGAUAAACAGGAUCCUCCGUAUUUGGGCUGGCAAUGGGUAGGGUAGGAUAGGGUUUGGAUCCGCGGGUUGAAAGUUCUGUUAAAACUUUACUCUAUUCUACCCGUGGGUUGAGAAUCUCUCAACCCUAAUCCUACCCGCACCUUAAAAUUCUAAAUCCUACCCUACCCUACCUGCAGAUAUAUCAAAAGUUUUUAAAGUAAAUAUAAAAUUCAAUUAUUUCAAAUUUUAUACAUAUUAAUAACAUAAAAAAUAACAAAUUAAUACUUAAAUUAUUAAAUUAACUAACUAAUUUAGUGGUUGUUCACUUAUUGUAAGUCAUUACAUAAGAGAAAUUGUAGGUUCAACUCUCACUUUAUUCACUAUAUACCUAAUUUUUAUAAAAUAUGUGUUAUAUAUUUGAGAUGCGGGUAGGGUAGGAUAGGGUACACUCUAAACCCGUACUCUACCCUACCCGCAGGCAUACCCGGACCAUACCCUAGGAUAACUUACCCUGUCCGAACGGGUUGGACCGGAUUGAAUACCCGCAGGUAGGGUAUGAAUUGCCACCCCUACUCCGUAUCUUUUGAAUCAUUAUACGAAUAUCGUGUGGCUGGAACAAAUCCUCGUGGUCCUGGUGAAGGCGAAGGAGCCAAAGUAUUAGAGCGAUAGAAAGGGUACAACUCAUACCGAACGAAACAGCUGGGGAAUAGAACCCUCCCUCCCUGCUUUCCUCCACAGCAAGGGGUUAAUUCGGUUAUGGCUUCAGUUAGACAGCUGGCACAGUCUCGUGGUGUGAGGUUAUCGGUACACUGAGCCAUACAAUAAAGGUUCUGGAAACCAGAUAUGUUGGCUUGCCCUGUAGCGUACUUCUUUUCAAGAACCGGGGACUUGGCUGCUUCUUUCGCCGUUUCAUUCAUGGUUCUGAACAACAACUUCAUGAAGCUUUCCUGGUUGGAGACAUUCCCCGUGUUGGAGAGGUAAACGCCGGGCCUCGUGAACAUUGUGGACAAGAUAGAGCGGUUAUUGGAAUACCAAACCAUGCACUCGUCGUACCAAAUGAUGGCUCGUUUUGAUAAGGAACAAUCUGCAUCG